This 2199-nucleotide ribosomal RNA is filed under the name mouse gut metagenome. RNAcentral describes it as "bacterial LSU rRNA". It matches the Rfam family "Bacterial large subunit ribosomal RNA", at positions 707 to 2925 of the family's 2925-position model. The record is from RNAcentral.
GGGCAGACGCGAAACCAAGUGAUCUACCCUUUGGGCAGGUUGAAGGACAGGUAACACUGUCUGGAGGACCGAACCGGUAAGCGUUGAAAAGCUUUCGGAUGACCUGAGGGUAGGAGUGAAAGGCCAAUCAAACUUGGAGAUAGCUCGUACUCCCCGAAAUGCAUUUAGGUGCAGCCUCGGGCUCAGUACCGUGGAGGUAGAGCGACUGAUAGGAUGCGAGGGCUUCACCGCCUAUCAAGUCCUGACAAACUCCGAAUGCCACGGCACGAUACCCGGGAGUGAGGGCGUGGGUGCUAAGGUCCACGUCCGAAAGAGGAACAACUCAGACCAUCGGCUAAGGCCCCCAAAUACGGGCUAAGUUGAAGACAAUAACGAGGUGGAAUUGCAUAGACAGCUAGGAUGUUGGCUUGGAAGCAGCCAUUCAUUUAAAGAGUGCGUAACAGCUCACUAGUCGAGUGAUUCCGCGUGGAUAAUAAUCGGGCAUAAGUCCGUUGCCGAAGCCAUGGAAUCAGCCUUAAGGCUGAUUGGUAGGGGAGCAUUCCGGUAGCCGUCGAAGGUUUGUCGCAAGACAGGCUGGAGGUCCCGGAAAAGCAAAUGUAGGGAUAAGUAACGAUAAGGAGGGCGAGAAACCCUCCCGCCGUAAGACCAAGGGUUCCUGAUCAACGCUAAUCGGAUCAGGGUAAGUCGGGACCUAAGGCACAGCCGUAAGGCGCAGCCGAUGGACAAACGGUAAAAAUUCCGUUACCCGACGGCAGAGCGAUGUGGCGACGGAGAAGUGACACUCACGCGCACUGACGGAAUAGUGCGUUGAACUCCGUAGGUAUACCAUGGGGAGGCAAAUCCCUCCGUGGUGCUGAAAGAGGACAGUACGGAGCGUCCCCCGGGACAAUCCGACAGCUGAGGUAAUCAAGCUCCCAAGAAAACCCGCUAAGCAUAUCUGCCGCCGGCCCGUACCGUAAACGGACACACGUGGUCGGGUAGAACAUACCAAGGCGCUCGAGAGAUUCACGGUUAAGGAACUAGGCAAAUUGACCCCGUAACUUCGGGAAAAGGGGUCCCCUCCUCCGGGAGGGGCGCAGAGAAUAGGUCCAGGCAACUGUUUAACAAAAACACAGGGCUGUGCGAAAUUGAAAGACCAAGCAUACAGCCUGACACCUGCCCGGUGCCGGAAGGUUAAGAGGAGAAGUCAUCGCAAGAGAAGCUUUGAAUUGAAGCCCCGGUAAACGGCGGCCGUAACUAUAACGGUCCUAAGGUAGCGAAAUUCCUUGUCGGGUAAGUUCCGACCUGCACGAAUGGUGUAAUGAUCCGGACACUGUCUCAACCGUGAGCUCGGUGAAAUUGUAGUAUCGGUGAAGAUGCCGAUUACCCGCAACGGGACGGAAAGACCCCGUGAACCUUUACUGCAGCUUAGCAUUGGGACCGGGUGCGCGAUGUGUAGGAUAGUCAGGAGGCUGUGAGACGGUGACGCCAGUCAUCGUGGAGCCGUUGUUGAAAUACUGACCUUUGCGCAUUUGGUUUCUAACUCGCGAUGCGAGGACAUUGCUUGGUGGGUAGUUUGACUGGGGUGGUCGCCUCCAAAAGCGUAACGGAGGCUUCUAAAGGUGCGCUCAGGCCGAUUGGUAACCGGCCGCAGAGUGUAAUGGCACAAGCGCGCUUGACUGGGAGACCGACAAGUCGACCAGGUAGGAAACUAGAGCAUAGUGAUCCGGUGGUUCCGCAUGGAAGGGCCAUCGCUCAAAGGAUAAAAGGUACUCCGGGGAUAACAGGCUGAUCCCUCCCAAGAGCUCAUAUCGACGGAGUGGUUUGGCACCUCGAUGUCGGCUCGUCACAUCCCGGGGCUGGAGAAGGUCCCAAGGGUUAGGCUGUUCGCCUAUUAAAGUGGCACGCGAGCUGGGUUCAGAACGUCGUGAGACAGUUCGGUCCCUAUCUGUUGUGGGCGCAGGAGAUUUGCGAGGCCCCGACACUAGUACGAGAGGACCGUGUUGGACAGACCUCCGGUGUGCCGGUUGUUCCGCCAGGAGCACCGCCGGGUAGCCGCGUCUGGUAAGGAUAAGUGCUGAAAGCAUCUAAGCACGAAGCCCCCCUCAAGAUAAGAUUUCCAUAUAAGGGUCGUCAGAGACGAUGACGUCGAUAGGUCGCAGGUGCAGGGACGGUAACGUCUACAGCCGAGCGAUACUAAUCACCCAAACCCUUUCCGGG